UAUUAAGCAUGAAUGAAAUAGUAAACUUCUUCCCCAAUUCCCUCAUCUCUUCUCACCUCAGCCUCUUUCUCUAUCCCUAUCCCCACUCUUACCUUUUCUCUAUCUCUAUCCCUUCUCUUCCUCUUCUCUUACCUCAAAUCCUUCUCAAUUUCUUUACCCAACUCACUGAAUUGGCAAUCGUAGUAUACCCAUCAUCCAAGUCGCCCUACGCACCUCAGCAAGUUCUCAUCCUUGGUGGUUGCGACGAGUCCGGGAUACUACAUAUUUGGUAUCAGAGUAGCGAGAUCCGGCGGGACGAUCCGAGGCAAGCUGAAUUCCGAAUUGUGGAACU
Molecule: long non-coding RNA, 331 nt
Filed under: Ananas comosus (pineapple)
Lineage: Eukaryota; Viridiplantae; Streptophyta; Magnoliopsida; Poales; Bromeliaceae
Description: long non-coding RNA (ACOM_LNC017373)
Source: RNAcentral